This 520-nucleotide ribosomal RNA is filed under the name uncultured Entrophospora. Its description in RNAcentral is "SSU rRNA". It matches the Rfam family "Eukaryotic small subunit ribosomal RNA", at positions 569 to 1083 of the family's 1831-position model. The record is from RNAcentral. Lineage: Eukaryota; Fungi; Glomeromycota; Glomeromycetes; Entrophosporales; Entrophosporaceae.
AGCAGCCGCGGUAAUUCCAGCUCCAAUAGCGUAUAUUAAAGUUGUUGCAGUUAAAAAGCUCGUAGUUGAAUUUCGGGAUUGACACAUCGGUCGUGCCUUAAGGGGUGUGAACUGGUGUAGUCAAUUUCUCACCUUCUGGAGAACCGCGAUGUCCUUAAUUGGGUGCCUCGAGGAACCAGGACCUUUACUUUGAAAAAAUUAGAGUGUUUAAAGCAGGCAUUUUUGCUUGAAUACAUUAGCAUGGAAUAAUAAAAUAGGACGGCAUGAUUCUAUUUUGUUGGUUUCUAGGAUCACCGUAAUGAUUAAUAGGGAUAGUUGGGGGCAUUAGUAUUCAAUUGUCAGAGGUGAAAUUCUUGGAUUUAUUGAAGACUAACUACUGCGAAAGCAUUUGCCAAGGAUGUUUCCAUUAAUCAAGAACGAAAGUUAGGGGAUCGAAGACGAUCAGAUACCGUCGUAGUCUUAACCAUAAACUAUGCCGACUAGGAAUCAGACGAUGUUAAUUUUUUAAUGACUCGUUUGG